CCCUGCCUUUUGUACACACCGCCCGUCACACCAUGGGAGUUGGAUUCACCCGAAGGCAGUGCGCUAACCGCAAGGAGGCAGCUGACCACGGUGGGUUCAGCGACUGGGGUGAAGUCGUAACAAGGUAGCCGUAGGUGAACCUGCAGAAGG
Molecule: ribosomal RNA, 150 nt
Filed under: Oocystis borgei
Lineage: Eukaryota; Viridiplantae; Chlorophyta; Trebouxiophyceae; Chlorellales; Oocystaceae
Description: partial 18S ribosomal RNA
Rfam family: Bacterial small subunit ribosomal RNA
Source: RNAcentral